UGAACCAAGUCCUGGGGAGUCUGAACUGGCUGUGAACCCCUUUGAUGGGCUCCCCUUCUCUUCUUGCUACUAUGAGCUGCUUGAGCAGCGUAGAGCCUUGCCCAUCUGGGCUGCUCGUUUCCUGUUCUUGGAGCAUUUGGAAAGUAGCCCCACUGGAGUGGUGCUGGUAUCUGGGGAGCCCGGCUCUGGCAAGAGCACCCAGGUGGAGGAAGGUUCUGGGAGUGGGCAAAGGGCAGGGUUAAAUGUGCUUUUUCCUGGGUAAAGGAAAGGGGAUGUGGGAAAGGUGGAUUACCCAGUGGGUGGUACGGUAGAGUUCAGCUGGUCAUAGUUCCUAUAGCACUUCUGUCUAAAGUCCUCCAAUCCUCUGACAAAUUCCCUCUCCCUACCCCAGAUUCCUCAAUGGUGUGCAGAGUUUGCGCUGGCCAGAGGAUUCCAGACAGGACAGGUUACAGUCACUCAGCCCUACCCUCUGGCAGCCAUGAGCCUGGCUUCAAGGGUGGCUGAUGAGAUGGACCUGACCCUGGGUCAUGAGAUUGGCUACAGCAUCCCUCAGGAAGACUGCACUGGGCCCAAUACCAUGCUCAGGUGGGCCAUUUGCAGUCUGGCAUGGGCUUAAUCCCCCUUACUGAGUGGGAACAAACCCAGUUGUCUCGUACCUCCCCAUACCCUCAGCUUAACUUGCCUUUGAGUCACAUGAUACAAACCUCACCCCCACCACAAGAUACAGGAUAUAGUGGGUGAACCAAGUGCCCUCAACAAGAUGUAGGGUCACACUUAGUGGUCCACAGGCUUAGGAAGUCCAUGACAACAUCUUUUUCUGACCUUCAGUAUCAAGAUCUAGGCACCUUGGGGGAAAAUUCCUAAAUUUGGGUCUGGUCCACGUCCAUGUUGACUCCCUGUCCACUACCAAUGUCUACAGGUUUUGCUGGGACAGGCUAUUUCUACAGGAAGUAGCCUCGACCCGGGGCCCUGGAGCCUGGAGUGUGCUGGUACUGGAUGAGGCUCAGGAGCGGUCAGUGGCCUCAGAUUUACUACAGG
This 1038-nucleotide long non-coding RNA is filed under the name Rattus norvegicus (Norway rat). RNAcentral's name for it is "long non-coding RNA NONRATT020606". Lineage: Eukaryota; Metazoa; Chordata; Mammalia; Rodentia; Muridae. The record is from RNAcentral.